CGUAGGGUGCGAGCGUUAAUCGGAAUUACUGGGCGUAAAGUGUGCGCAGGCGGCAAAGCAAGUCGAGUGUGAAAGCCCCGGGCUUAACUUGGGAAUUGCGCUCGAAACUACUUUGCUGGAGUGUGGCAGAGGAAGGUGGAAUUCCACGUGUAGCGGUGAAAUGCGUAGAGAUGUGGAGGAACACCAAUGGCGAAGGCAGCCUUCUGGGCCAACACUGACGCUCAUGCACGAAAGCGUGGGGAGCAAACAGGAUUAGAUACCCUGGUAGUCCACGCCCUAAACGAUGACGACUAGUUGUUGGAGGAGUUAAAUCCUUUAGUAACGCAGCUAACGCGCGAAGUCGUCCGCCUGGGGAGUACGGUCGCAAGAUUA
RNAcentral lists this ribosomal RNA (372 nucleotides) under uncultured organism. RNAcentral's name for it is "bacterial SSU rRNA". It matches the Rfam family "Bacterial small subunit ribosomal RNA", at positions 526 to 896 of the family's 1533-position model. The record is from RNAcentral.